CAUUUUUAUGAAAAUCAAUUUUGACAGAAAGAAGAAAAAUGUAUUUUGAUAGAAUUAUGGAAGUCUAAAAUUAGUUUAGCUUCUUAAUUGUUGGGGCAGCAUCUAAGUCUCAGAGAGAAAAUGUGAUUUCUCCAAGUAACUGCUAGUCAGUGUCAGAACCAGGACUAGAACUCAUUUAUUUUGGCCGGUGACUCAAUGUUGUAUUUAUGACUUAAUGCAUGUACUGAUUUUCUUAAAACUCUACUUUACAGACAAGAGACAAGGGCUGGAAAUUAAGUGAGCUAUAGUGUUAGUGGUAUAUCAACAGUAGAAAAAACGGAAAAAUCCCCACUAUUAGCUGCUGCUGCUUUGUUUUUCCUGUUUAGCACUAUUUAAUAAUGGUAUAUAUAUAUCAGUGCUGUCCAGUAGAAAUACAAUAUAAGCCACAUCUAUAAUUUAAGAUUUUCUAGUAAGCCACAUUUCAAAAAUAGAAACAGGCAAAAUUAAUAUUUUGUCUAGGUCAGUAUAUCUGAAAUAUUAUUUUACCAUGUAAUUAAUAUUUGCAGUCUUUUUUUUUCAUACCAAAAUCCAAUGUGUCUUUUACACUAAGGGUACAUCUCAAUUAGCUAUACUUCAGAGAAGGGGAUCAGUAGCUACAUGUGGCUAGUGGCUGCCUUAUGGGGCAGUGCAGACCUAUAGCUUCAUGCUGCUUUUAGUUUCCACCAUUGUUCAAAUAGGUAAAGGCAGGAAAGAAUGCAUGGCUAGGGAUACAGUUUCUAGUAUCCAUCGUAUUUAAAGAAAAGUAUGCCUCUAUCAUAACUAGCUUAAUCAGAUUCUAGGAGUCUUUUCUUCAGGACCCUGUUGCCUUCUUUCCUCCAUCUUCUUUUUUUUCUGCAUCUUUACUUUUGAAGAUGUAAAUAUAUUUGGUAAACAUAUUAUUGCCCUUAUUAACAGUCCUUGAUAUACUUGGGAAAUAACUUUGAGAAAGAAACCAAAUUAUAAUGGAAAAAUCCUGGCACUGAGACAGGAGUAAGUAUGGGAGAUUUGCAGGAUGGAAAUGAGACAGACCUGUUUCAAGCAGAUGGUAUAUAUGUGAUAGCACAAAGAUUUUUAAAAAUUCAACUUCUAGUUUUUGUUUUUUCUAAAAAUUUCCUUUGGUUUCCUUUUUGUCUGUUUGUUGUAAUUACUUUUCUAAGCCCUUGCUGUUGACCUCAGUCACACUUAGUCUGGUAUUAACUGCUCUUUUGGCUUGAGAUAGGUUCAAUAAUGAGACUUUGGCAGAACUGUCUUGAGAGAGCACUGCAGUUGAAUUCCAUCUGGAUUUUGGUCACUGUCUCAUUGUUACAGUUAAUCCACUGGUUUUGCCUGUCUUUAUUUUUUUGUUUUUGCUUUUAAAUAUAGCUUAAUUAAUUAUUAACCCUUCUAACUACCACCUUAAGAAAUAGAAUUUUUCCAGCUGCACCUGAAGCCUCUCCACCUGCCCCAAUUAAAUAAAUUUCAUCCCUUAUGUGUCUCCUAAAGUAACCACUUACGUUAUAGUAAUCAUUUCUUGCAUUUGGUUAUAAUUUUUUUACCCAAAUGUGUAUCCCUAAGUCCUAUAGUUUUCUUAUCUAUUUGUUUAGCUUGAUGUCUUUUGUUUACAAGUUGUCUGUUGAAGAAUCUGGACCGGCCGGUUGCUAUAGCUCAUGCCUUUAAUCCCAACACUGGGAGGCCACUGGAGGCAGAGGAUCAUUUGAGCCCAGUAGUUCAAGACCAGCCUGGGAAAUAUAAUGAGAUCCCCGUCUCUAGAAAACAUUUGGAAAAUUAGCUGGGUGUGGUGACACAUGCCUAUAGACCCAACUCCUUGAGAGGCUGAGGCAGGAGGAUUGCUUGAACCCAGGAAGUCAAGGCUGUAGUGAGCUAUAAUUGUGCCAUUACCUUCCAGCCUGGGUGACAGAGUGAGACCCUGAGACGCUGUCUGAAAAAAAAAAAAAAUCCAGACCCUUUGACCUGUAGGAAUUUGCCGUAGUAUAGAUUUUACUGAUUGCACAGUGGUGCAAUUCACUAUGUUUCUCUGUCCUUUGUUUUUGCUACAAAUUGGCAGCUGGAUCCAGAGACUGGAUCAGACUGGAUCAGGUUUGAUCCCUUUGGCAAGACUCUAGGUGCUGGUGUGUUUCUUUAGCAGGAAGAACACAGUGUCUAGUUUUUGCCCUUUGUUGAUAUUAGCAGCUAUUGAUGUUUAGCACCUGCACCCAUUAACUCAUUGAGGGUUGCAAAAUGAUGACAGUCUAUCAUUUUGUUUUAAUUUUUAUCAGAAAUAAUUUUAUAAGGAAACACUUCAUCUAUUAUUUGGUUACCCAGUGGUGCAGUUAAAAUAGAAUGACUGAUUAUUUCCUUUUAUUUACCAGAUUUUCAGGAUAAUGAAUUGGCUUCAAAAACAACCAUUUAUAUGUGUGUUUACAUAUAUAUAUUUCCAAAAGAAUUGGAAACAGGGACUGAAACAGAUGCUUACAUAUCCAUGUUCAUAGGAGCAUUAUUUCCAGUAUUCACAGUAGCCAAGAGGUGAAAAGGAUCCAAAUGUCCAUCCACUGAUGAAUGGAUAAAAAAUGUGCUUAUAAAUACAAUGGACUAUUAAUCAGCCUUAUAAAGGGAGGAGAUUCUGACACAUGCUGCAACAUAGAUGAACCUUGAGGAUUACUAUGCUAAGUGAAGUAAGCCAGUUACAAAAAGACAAAAGAGGUAUGAUUCCAUUUAUGUGGGAUACCUAGAGUAGCCAGAUUCAGAGACAGAAAGUAGAAUGGUGGUUUCCAGGGGUUAGGAGUAGGGGAAAUGAGGACUUAGUAUUUAAUGAAUAUGGAGUUUUCAGUUUGGAAAGAUGAAAAAAUUCUGGAGAUGGAUGUGAUGAUGGUGAUUAUCAUAUCAUGAACAAUGUGAAUGUCCUUAAUGCCACUGAAUUGUACAUUUAAAAAUGGUUACAGUAGUAAGUUUCAUGUUAGUAUGUUUUACCAUCACACAAAAAUACCCAUUAUUUUACAGUUUUAUAGGUCAGACAUCUCAGUUGGGUUUUGUGCUUAAGGUCUCAUAUGACUGAAAUCAAGGAGUUGGCUGGGCUGGACCCUUAUCUGGAGACUCUGAGGAAGAGUCCUCUUCCAGGCUCACUCAGGGCAUUUGCAGAAUUCAAUUUCUUGUGGUUGUAGAACUGAGGCCCUGUUUUGAUGUUGUUGUUGUUGUUGGCUGUAAGUUGUGUUCUGCUUUCAGCUUCUUGAGGCUGCACAUAUUCUUGGUCAUGUGGCCUAGACCCUUCCAUCUUCAUGUCAGUGAUGUGCAUUGAAUCAUUCUGGUCCUCUGAAUCUCUCUGACUUCCCAUUCUGCUGUCAGCUGCAGAAAAUGCUCUGCUUUUAAAAGACCUUAUGUGAUCACAUCAGAUUAGGUUUAUCAGAUGAUCUUCCUUUUGUCACGUAAUGUAACAUAAUCACUCCUGCAGUAUCUCAUCAUAUUCACAGUUUUCAUCCAUACUCAAGGGGGAGGACAUUAUACAGGGGCAAGGGUCUGUGAGGGUCAUUCUUAAAAUUCUGCCUACUACACAGCAUGACAGAAAAGAACCAAAUAUAUCUGUGUUUGAAUCCCAUUUUCACCCAUUGCUUUGUUUGCUGGAAAAGGGAAGCUGUCAUAAGCUUCCUGAGCUUGAGUUUCUUUUCUUUAAGGUGGAGAUUAUACUCUUCUUGCAGAAUUUUGUGAGGAUUAGGUCCUGGCACAUAGAUAGAACCUAUUAAUUAGAGGUGUAUAUGUGUGUGUCCAUGUCCCACCGUGUGUACACACGUGCAUUUUACUAGGCUUUGUGGUAUUUUCCAAAAAUUAGACUGCUGAGGCUUCUUAGUCAAUAAAUAUCUGGAGGGUUUGUUUACAAUGCAGAUACCAAGUCCACCUUCUAGAUAGGUUGCUUUAGUGUAGUGUUCCGGAAUCUUUAUUUUUAAACAGAUUAUGCAGGUAAUUGUGUUGUGUAACCACGUAUGAGACCACUGGUGUAGAAACAAUCAGAAAGAUCUGGGGCUGAAUUUUACUCAGCUCUUCCCUUACUGACUCUGACAUUGAACAAAUUUCUUGACUUUUAUGAGAAUACCAUGAUAUAACUGGUAGGGUUGUUGUUAGGCUUAUUAGUUAUAUAUGUAUAGGAAAUGGUAACUGCUAUGGAUGACGAUGAUGAUGAUGGUGAAUAUAGUGCUGAUAGACACUGCAUCUAGAUUCCAAAUGAGCUUAAUGGGCCAUCAUUGACUGCACCACUGAUCUUGCCCCUGCCUCAUCCAUCCCAUCCUAUAUUUGAAUCAUACUAUGUUUCUUCCUGUUCCCUCACUGUGCUUCUUCAUUCCUCAUUGCUUCUGACUUUUUUUUUUCUUAUAUCAUGGAAGGGUUCUGCACCUUCUGAUGAGCUCAUCUCUUAAGAGACUUUUCAAAUGUUACCUCUUCUGUGAAGCCUUUCUGAUUCACAUACUUCUAAUAGGUUUAAUUCUCCCCCAUCCUCUACUUUUUUUUCCUUCUCCUGCUCCUCUUUCUUUUCAUUCUCACCUCCCGCCUCUUUUGACAGGAUCUUGCUCUGUCACCCAGGCUGGAGUGCAGUGGUGCAAUCACAGUUCAUUACAGCCCCAAAUUCCUGGGCUCAAACAAUCCUCCUGCCUCAGCCUCCUGAGUAGCUAGGACUAUAGGUGUGUGCCAACACACCCAGGUAAUUAAUUUUUUUUUUUUUUUGGAGACGAGGUCUCACUGUGUUGCCCAGGCUGGUCUUAAACUCCUGGCCUUAGGCAGUUCUCCUAACUCAGUCUCCCAAAGCAUUGGGAUUACAGGCACCAGCGACCAUACCUGGCCUGUCAUUUUACAUUUGUAAUUUAGAGCCGUGAAAUUACUUGUUGCAUUGUAUUACAUGUUAAUGUUUCUGUUUUCCCUGCUUGGAUAAUAAGUUCCCAUCCACUGUCAUACUUGCCUGGCACAUAAUAAAUACUCAAAAAUGCUUGUUGUUAAUUUUAUGUAUUUAUAAAAAUAAUCAGUACAUUUUGGGAAAUUUGCCUUUACUAUGAUUUACAUACGAAAGAACUAUGGGAGUUAUUUAUCUUAAACAUAAUAUGAGCUAGCAGUAUGAUAUAUUUUCUGAAAAAGAAAGCAAAAUAUCCAUGUGAAUAUAAGCUAUGUAAAAGAAGAAUGGGGAAAGGAACCAUAGAGGAAACCCAGAUCAGGCACUGUGCUAGAUGAUUUUCAUACACAUUCCCGUCAUAACCCUGUAAGGUAAAUGAGUUUGUAAUUUCGUUUUGCAGAUGAGAACACUGAGACUCACAUUACUUUUAGUAACUUAUCAAGGUCACAUAGACAUGGUGAAUCUGAGAUUGGACUUGGAUCUUAUUUAAAAGCCCUGUUCAAUUCUUGACUUUACUAGGCUCCCAUUCCUCUGGACUAGAAGAGUGAAUUCAGAUACUGUAAGUUGUUGUAAGGUAGUGUAAAACCAGUGGAGGAAAGCAGAAAAGUGAAAAACUUUUUUUGUGUUGGUUACGAAGUGUGUGCCACUAGAUGGUGCCCUUUUCUUGAUGAAGAAGUAAAAUGUUGCUUUAGUCCUGUGAUCUGAUUCCUUUGCAUAGCAGUCAAAACCAAAACAUUGACAUUUUCAGAUAUCUGGAAAAUGGAGAUGUAACAACAUUAAAGAGGCAAUGUGGCCUGGUCUCGGUGGCUUAUGCCUGUAACGCCAGCACUUUGGGAGGCCAAGGCAGGAGGAUAACUCGAGUCCAGGAGUUGGAGACUAGCCUGGGCAACAUAAUAAGACUUCUUUUCUACAAAAAAAGGACAAAAUUAUCUGGGUGUGGUAGAUUCUACCUCUAGUCCUAGCUACUUGGAAGGCUGAGGUGGGAGGAUCACUUGAAUGCAGGAGGUCAAGGCUGCAGUGAGCUGAGAUCAUACUGCUUGCACUCCAACCUGGGUAACAGAGGAAGACAUUAUAUCAAAAAAAAAAAAAAAAAAAAAGGAUAUAGUGGCAAAAACAAAUACAGGGCAUGUAUGUAAUGAAAUUCAGAUUUGGAUUCUGUCACAUUCUGGUGUUGUGACUUGAGGCAACUUUUCAGCCCUGAGCCCUAUUUUCUUUCUCUGGAAUAGGCAUCAUGCCAUUUACUCAUAGUAUUGUGAGUAUCAAAUUAGUUAAUAUAUCUUGAAAAGUACCCCAAAACAGUGUUUGGAACUUAAUAGGAUCUAAAUGAAUGGUAGUUGUUAUAAUUUAUAAUUGCUAUUAAUACAGAUGAAUCUCAGAUUCUGAAGAAUUCUAAAGGGCCUUAGGAACCAUCAAAGAAAGAUAAAUUAUAUUAAACAAAGUUUUAAUGCUAAAUAUAUUACACAUCUAUGAAAACUAUUAAUCCACAUAUGAUUUAGAGUAACUCUCUUUCACUCAGUCCAAUGAAACUGAGUACUUCAUUUCCCUAUUGUGCUAGUUAUCAGAAUUGAAUGUGCUUUCCUGAGGGAUGCAUUAUCCACUUUUCUUUUAGUCUAUCACAAGAGGAGUCAGUAGUGUACCAUGACAGAAUAUUAAUAUUUUCAGCACUGACUUCUGUUACUGCCCUGUUUCAUUGAUACCAUGACAUUUUUUGUCACAGUGUAAUAAGGUAUUAUUUUUAGGUUAAUGUAUAACCUUAAGAAUGUCUUCCUUUUCCCUUGGAUCUGUAUCUGGUAAGAACUUUAAUCAAUUGUCUUAUCAUUACACUGUGAAAAUUCACUCUAUUUAUUUUGGCUUUUGUUGUUAAUUCAAUAGCCUUUUUGUAAGCUCUUUGUCUUCCCUAUGAAUUUAAUAUUGAAAAUAUCCUCCCUUGGGCUAGAUGUAAACAUCUAUUUAAUCUCUGUGAUUGGCACCUAGAUGUCAUUAAUGCUAUAUUUUAUGAAUGUUUAUACUGUUUCAUAAUUACAAAUUAAAUGAAAAAGAAAGUGAUGGAAGAAUAUAUUCCAGGCAAGUGCUAACCAUAAGAAAGCUCGGAAAUGGAAUUAAUAUCAGACAUAGAAUACUAAGAAAAUAAAUUAAAUUGUUAUGGAAAAAGAGAAUACCAAAGACACAGUAUCACAUAGAUAACAUUUUUUGAUAACAAUGGAAUAAAUUAGAAAUCCCUUGACAAAACAGUAGCCACCCAUCUCACACACAUACUUCUGAAUAAUUCAUUGGUGAAAGUAGAAAUCAGAAUAGAAAUUGUAAAAUAUUCAAAUCUGAUUAAUAAUGAAAGAACUACAUGUUAAAACUGCAUCUAUGGAAAUCUGUGAUUUAUAAUCUUAAAUGAAUAUAUUAUAAAACAGAUUGAGAAUUAAUGAUCUAAGCAUUAAAUUUUUUAAAUUAGGGAAAGAAAAGUAUUACAAAAGGAAAUAGAAGAAAAUAACAAAAAGAAUACAUUAAUGAAAUUGGAAAUAAACAUUAGAAAGCAUAAACAAAUUGAACUGUGAUUCUGUGAAAGUAAUAAAUCCUGGUUAGAGUGAGAGAAAAACAGCAAAGGUACAAAUAAAUAAUAUUAAGAAUGAAAAAAGAAUUUUUAGUGAUCAUAGUAGAGAUGAAAAAUUGACAGCAACCUACUACAAAUAAUUUUUGCCCAUAAAUUUGAAAGCUUACAUGAAAAUGGAUAAUUUCUCACACAAGUAUCAAUCCCCAAAAUUAGGCUAUCAAAUAACUUGACAAGGUGAUUCUAAAAGUUAUUUAAAAUUUGGGAGAGGGGGCCGGGCACGGUGGCUCAUGCCUAUAAUCCCAGCACUUUGGGAGGCCGAGGUGGGCGGAUCACAAGGUCAAGAGAUUGAGACUAUCCUGGCCAACAUGAUGAAACCCCAUCUCUACUAAAAAUACAAAAAACUUAGCCAGGUGUGGUGGCACACAACUGUAGUCCCAGCUACUCGGGAGGCUGAGGUGGAAGAAUCGCUUGAAUCCAGGAGGCGGAGGUUGCAGUAAGUCAAGAUUAUGCCACUGCAAUUGGGGAAAGGGGAGAGCUAUUUUUAAAGAAUAAGGAGUUGGUCGACUUGCCACUCCAGAUAGUAAGGUUUUUAAAUGAAAGUAUGGUAAUUAAAAUGGUAUGGUGGUAAAAGAGAAAGAAAUGAUUAGCAGAACUGAAGAAAAAGAUGAAAAAUAGAACUAUUUGGACUUGGGUCUUGGAAUAAGCUGGAAAUUUGGUAUAUGAUAAAACAUUACAAAUCAGACAUUAUUGCUUAGUAAAUGAAGCUGGAUCAAUUGAGUGUUCAUAUGAAAAAAGAAUAUUACUCUUUCUCCCAUGUGAUAUACGGAAACAAAUUUCAGAUGUAUUAGAAGUAUAAAAUGAAAUUUUAAACUUAGAAGAAAAGCAUAGACGAAUGUCUUUAUGAUGUCAAAAUAGAGCAGAAAGCGUAAACCAUGAUAGCAAAUAUUUGUGGAUUUGGCAGCCUUCAAAAUUUAAAAUGUUUGAACAAAAAAAUAUACCACAAUCAAAGGGAAAGACAACUCAUGGACAGGAGAGAAAAUACUGACAAGACAUAAAUUAGCAAAGGAUUCAUACUCCAUAUGUAUAAAUAACUUCUGCAUAUUAAUAAGACAAAAAGAAAAUCCCCCCAAAUGCAUACACAUCAGUAAAGAAGACAAAAGAGUACUCGAAAUGUAGAAAAGUUAUAUACUUCUCUAGUUAUAGGCCUAGAAGCAAAGAGGAGUUAAAAAAAAAAAAGAAAAGUUAUAUACUUUUCAAUUCAUAUAAGAGGGAACAAGAAGGUAAAAUGUUGAGUACAAAAAGCAAAGCAAAUUGUUUACUACUCUGUUACUGGCACCUAGGACCGGGCCUAGAAAUUCGAUAAAUACUUGUUGAAUCAAUAAAUGAAUGAUGCUAAAGUAGGUCCUCCAUGCAGCAUCUUUAGUGAGCAGGUUGAACCUCAAGCUGUCCUGCUUCCUUGUAUAUUACUGAUUCUCUUGCUCUUCUCUAGACUGUAUGCUCCUUCAGGGCAUAGACGUUUUAUAUCCCCUGGCUGUUACUGUUCUUGGCCCAGAAUAGUUAUAAGUAUGUUGAAGUAAUUAGUGAAUAUUGUUUACUGUCACCAUGUCCUGUUAAGAACAGACUUUGGAUCAGGGGUUGCAAGACCUAUUAUUAUUCUCCCUUUUAGUUGUUGGACGUUUGGCAAACUUAAAAAAUUUUUUGUUAAAAAGAAAUAUAUAUUUUUUGGCCAGCGCAAGUGGCUCACGCCUGUAAUUCCACCAGUUUGGGAGGCUGAGGCGAAUGGAUCAUGAGGUCAAGGGAUCGAGAUCAUCCUGGCCAACAUUUUUAGUAGAAACCCUGUCUCUACUAAAUAUGCAAAAAUUAGACAGGCAUGGUGGCUCUCACCUGUAGUCCCAUCUACUCAGGAGGUUGAGGCAGGAAAAUCCCUUGAACCCGGGAGGUAGAGGUUGCAGUGAGCUGUGAUGUUGCCACUACACUACAGCCUGGCGACAGAGCAAGACUCCAUCUCAAAAAAAAAAAAAAAACAGAAAAAAAAAUUGUUUUUUAACCUGAGUCUUCGUUUCUUAAUCUCUGAAGAAGAGUAAUAACCUGUUUUGCCUAAGUCUCAGAGCGCAUAUUUAAGUGCACUAUGUGAAUGUAAGUAGACUUCUGAUGUCAUUUAAGCAGUGAUGAGAAGUAUGUGGUUGUGAAGUUAUAACGGGAGUAACUAUGCUGUAUAUUCUUAGCACUGUCUACAUUCCUUUUAGGAGCAUGUGAGCAAUCUAUGUCCCAGAGGAGUCAUCAUUCUUUUUUUGUUAUCUUUGGAACCAAUUCACCAGCCCACUUUUCUCUUCUUUUUGAAAAGGGAGAUUGGCCCUAAAAUAGCCAGAUUUCUGUUUCUUUCCUUCUUUUUUUCCCCAAGCCAUGAGAGCAAAACUAUCUUUCUGUCUUUGGCAUCAGAAUGAUGAUUCAUGGCUGAAGUAUGUCUGUGUGUAUAGUAUAAAAGGAAAAGAGGGAAAGUCAGGAAAUUCAUCCAGUUGGAUAAGACUGUGUAACUUGGGUUUCUAUUUGGUGCCUCAAUAGUGUGACCCUGGAGCAACAGGCAUCUUGGUUACCUCAAGUACUGAUAGAACUUUAAGAUGUUGACCAUCUGAAACCUUCAGAAAGAAAAUCGUGAGAGGUCACUGAAAGAUAUAUAUGUUUACUAUAUAUCUUUAUAUAUAGACCUUUAGCACAAUAGGUCUUAGAAGUGGAGUUGAUAUAAAAAUGAUAUUUUUGUGGGUUGGUAUAACAAAUAACUUUUCUUAACAAUAUAACACCAUUUUAUAUAUAGAUUAUCAAAGGGAGUUUUGCUUUACCAGAGAGAAACAAAAAAGUACUCUAAACCCAGAUAAAGGGAGAGGAAGGAUGAAUGGUGUUUGUCUCAGGCAGAGGGAACAUGUGGAAAAUGUGGUGUUGGGGGACAACUUGGGGCAAUUGGUAAGCUUUAAGCUAUUUAAGUGUAGAAUAGAGAGGUAGGCAUGGAGCAAAUCAUUAAGGGCCUUGUAGGCUAGGCUGUGGCAGAAAGUGAUCACAUCCCAUUAACCAGAAGCACUUGAGAAUGAAAGGGGAUCUAUCUAGUCAUUAUUGAGUCAGGACAACAGGAAUAAUCCAGGAUUGUUUCAGGCAAACCAGGUUGUGAAGGUGAAGAAGAGCCAUUGAUGUGGUAACAUCCUCCAAGGAAUGGAACGUUAAAAUAAUUAAUAGACUAGAGGAUUGGAGAGCUGAAUAUCUUGACUGAAAGGGAAUAAGAGAGGCAGGUCAGGUGAGGCAUUGCUAGGUGAGGACAUGGAAUUGAAAAGGGCUAUCGUUAAAGAGGUUAAAGACUUGAGUCUUGAGGAUGUGUAAAUGCAGUUGGGAAAAAGAGAGAGAGAAGAAAAAGAGAGACCAGGAAGAGAGAGAGAGACAGAAAUUGAAAAUUGGCAGGGAUACGGAGCAUGAGUAUAGAAGGACUGGGUUUUAGAAAGAAGAGUGGAUGCCUUUUCUAUUAUGAUAAAUGGAAAAGAAGCAUACUGAGUUUAGAUGCAAGUGAGUCUUCAGGUGGGAGAGUAUAGCAGGAAGGUUUAGAAUUUCUACCCAGUGGCUGCUUUUGUUGUUGGGAGUCAAUGAAUAAAGCAGUAAAAUACAUAUAAGGAUUGGAGUAGAAGUAUUAAGGCUAUUAUUCAUGGCAACCUAAUUGAGCAUAUGGAAAAUCCAAAAGAAUCUACAGAUGGAGAGGACUCAAGAUGGCGCUGUGAGAACAACCCAGGAUUGAAGCUUGCGGUCAGUGUGCGGAAGGGGUGAGUCAGGGCCGCAUUUCCAGACGGAUCUUUGUUGCCCACAGAACGGGGAAAUUCCUAGGUAUAGAAGGAGACACGGGACGCCAGGCAGAGGUUUUGGCUGGUACAGCCGGCAGCCGGUGCGGCAGCUGCCCGCGCUGUGGUGGCGCUACACAGCGGUCUGCACAAAGCGUGCUCGUACGGGUGCCCUGUUGGGCCGGCAACCUGAGACUUGGGAGGGCUGAACUUGAGACUGAAUGGGACUUGGACAGUGAGCCAGCCCAGGAGAUUUUAGGGUGACAGCGUUUGGGGUAGCGCAGUGGGACAAACAAAACGGCGAUUCCAAACGCUCCCCGUGGAGGGGUUCCCUGAGGCCGCAGCUCUGUGGGGGAGGGGCGUCUGCCAUUACCGAGGCAAACUGCCCCUACUGAGGUACACGCCCAUUGCUGACAGCCUGCUGUUGCUGAGGAAACCCGCUACAACAGAGAGACUCCGCCGCAGGGCGUAGCCCGUGGCAGCAGGGCGGAGACAGCAGCAGAAGGGGAGAGCCUGCAGCAACAGGGCGAACCUCACAGCAGCAGGGCGGAGCCUCGGCAGGCAAAUAGUGACUAGACUGCCUCCUAGCUGGGCAGGACAGCGCCGCGGACACUCACAAGGAAAGCCCCAACCCCCCCAGACAGAGCAUCUGAGAAAAAAAGCGUUUUUUUUUAUGAGUUAUGUUGCAGCAGAAUUAAACAUAGCAGCCUAACAGCCCUGAAUGAACAACAGAGCUCACAGCUCAGCACUUGAGCUCCUACAAAGUACAGACUGUCUCCUCAAGCAGCUCCUUGACCCCUCUAUAUCCAAAAGACUGACAUUUGGCAGGCAUCAUUCUGGGACAAAGAUAGCAGAAAAAGAAACUGGUAGCAUCCCUCACUGUUCCGCAGCUGCUAAAGGUGCACCCCAGAGAAGCAGGGCCUGGAGUGGACCUCAGCAGUCGUACAGCGAAGGGGCUAGACUGGUAGAAGGAAAACCAAGUAACAGAAAUACUUCAUCAUCAACAAUCUGGGUGUCCACUCAGAGACCCAAUCGAAAAGUCAGCAACUACACAGACGACAGGUGGAUAAAUCCACAAAGAUGGGAAGAAACCAGCGCAAAAAGGAGGAAAACACCCGAAAACAGAACACCUCACCUGCUAGAAAGGACCAAAACUCCUCACCAGCAAGGGAACAAAGCUGGAUGGAGAACGACUGUGACGAAAUGACGGAAUUAGACUUCAGAAGGUGGAUAAUGAGAAACUUUUGUGAGCUAAAAGAACAUGUUUUAAAUCAAUGCAAAGAAACUAAGAACCUUGAAAAAAGAUUCGAGGAAAUGAUAACAAGAAUGGAUAACUUAGAGAGGAAUAUGAAUGAAUUAAAGGAGCUGAAAAACACAAUACAAGAACUUCACAAAGCAUGCACAAGUUUCAGUAGCCGAAUUGACCAAGCAGAAGAAAGAAUAUCAGAAGUUGAAGAUCAACUCAAUGAAAUACAACGAGAAACCAAGAUCAGAGAAAAAAGCGCAAAAAGGAAUGAACAAAGUCUCCAAGAAAUGUGGGACUAUGUGAAGAGACCUAACCUACGUUUGAUAGGCGUACCAGAAUGUGACGAAGAGAAUGAAUCCAAGCUGGAAAAUACUCUUCAGGACAUUAUCCAGGAAAAUUUCCCCCACCUAGCAAGACAGGCCAACACUCAAUUGCAGGAAAUACAGAGAACACCACAAAGAUAUUCCGCAAGAAGAGCAACCCCAAGGCACAUAAUUGUCAGAUUCAACAAGGUUGAAAUAAAGGAGAAAAUACUAAGGGCAGCCAGGGAGAAAGGUCGGGUCACCCACAAAGGGAAGCCCAUCAGACUCACAGCAGAUCUCUCGGCAGAAACCCUACAAGCCAGAAGAGAGUGGGGGCCAAUAUUCAACAUCCUUAAAGACAAGAACUUUCAACCCAGAAUUUCAUAUCCAGCCAAACUGAGCUUCAGAAGUGAAGGAAAAAUAAAAUCCUUUGCGAACAAGCAAGUACUCAGAGAGUUUGUCACCACCAGGCCUGCUUUACAAGAGCUCCUGAAAGAGGCACUACACAUAGAAAGGAACAACCAGUACCAGCCAUUCCAAAAUCACACUAAAUGCUAAAGAGCAUCAACAUAAUGAAGAAUCUACAACAACUAACGGGCAAAACAGCCAGCUAGCAUCAAAAUGGCAGUAUCAAAUUCACACAUAACAAUAUUAACCCUAAAUGUAAAUGGACUAAAUGCACCAAUCAAAAGAUACAGACUGGCAAAUUGGAUAAAAAUCCAAAACCCAUCAGUGUGCUGUAUUCUGGAAACCCAUCUCACAUGCAAGGAUACACAAAGGCUCAAAAUAAAGGGAUGGAGGAAGAUUUACCAAGCAAAUGGAGAGCAAAAAAAAGCAGGAGUUGCAAUUCUCAUCUCUGAUAAAAUAGACUUUAAAGCAACAAAGAUCAAAAGAGACAAAGAAGGCCAUUACAUAAUAGUAAAAGUAUUGAUACAACAAGAAGAGCUAACGAUCCUAAACAUAUAUGGACCCAAUACAGGAGCACCCAGAUACAUAAGGCAAGUUCUUAACGACUUACAAAGAGACUUAGACUCCCACACAAUAAUAGUGGGAGACUUUAACACUCCACUGUCAAUAUUAGACAGAUCAACCAGACAGAAAAUCAACAAGGAUAUCCAGGGCUUGAACUCAGACCUGGAGCAAGCAAACCUGAUAGACAUUUACAGAACUCUCCACCCCAAAUCCACAGAAUAUACAUUCUUCUCAGCACCACAUCACACCUACUCUAAAAUUGACCACAUAAUUGGAAGUAAAGCACUGCUCAGCAAAUGCAAAACAACUGAAAUCAUAACAAACAGUCUCUCAGACCAUAGUGCAAUCAAGUUAGAACUCACAAUUCAGAAACCAACCCAGAACCGCACAGCUUCAUGGAAACUGAACAAGUGGCUCUUGAAUGUUGACUGGAUAAACAAUGAAAUGAAGGCAGAAAUAAAGAAGUUCUUCGAAACCAAUGAGAACGAAGACACAACAUGCCAGAAUCUCUGGGACACAUUUAAAGCAGUCUCUAGAGGAAAGUAUAUAGCAAUAAGUGCCCAUAUGAGAAGAAUGGAGAGAUCCAUAAUUGACACCCUAUCGUCAAAAUUGAAAGAUCUAGAGGAGCAAGAUCAAAAAAACUCAAAACCCAGCAGAAGACAAGAAAUAACUAAGAUCACAGCUGAACUGAAGGAGAUUGAGACACGAAAAACCCUUCAAAAAAUCAAUAAAUCCAAGAGCUUGUUUUUUGAAAAGAUCAACAAAAUAGACAGACCACUAGCCAGACUGAUUAAAAAGAAAAGAGAGAACAACCAAAUAGAUGCAAUAAAAAAUGAUAAAGGGGAAAUCACCACAGAUUCCACAGAAAUUCAAAACAACAUCAGAGAAUAUUACAAACAACUCUAUGCACACAAACUAGUAAACCUGGAAGAAAUGGAUAAAUUCCUGGACUCCUGUGUCCUCCCAAGCCUAAACCGGGAGGAAGCUGAAACUAUGAAUAGACCAAUAACAAGGACAGAAGUGGAGGCAGCAAUUAAGAGCCUACCACACAAAAAAAGCCCAGGUCCAGAUGGGUUCAUAGCCGAAUUCUACCAGACACACAAAGAGGAGUUGGUACCAUUCCUUCUGAAACUAUUCCAAAUAAUCCAAAAAGAAGGAAUCCUUCCCAAUAUCAUCCUGAUACCAAAACCCGGCAGAGACCCAAGAAGAAAAGAAAACUUCAGGCCAAUAUCCAUGAUGAACAUAGAUGCAAAAAUCUUCAAUAAAAUAUUGGCAAGCCGAUUGCAACAGCAAAUCAAAAAACUUAUCCAUCAUGAUCAAGUAGGAUUCAUCCCGGGGAUGCAAGGCUGGUUCAACAUACGCAAGUCUAUAAACGUAAUUCACCACAUAAACAGAACCAAAAACAAAAACCACAUGAUUAUCUCAAUUGACGCAGAGAAGGCAUUGGACAAAAUUCAACAGCCCUUUAUGCUAAAAACCCUCAAUAAACUUGGUAUCGAUGGAACAUAUCUCAAAGUAAUAAAAGCUGUUUAUGACAAACCAACAGCCAAUAUCAUACUGAAUGGGCAAAAACUGGAAGCAUUCCCUUUGAAAUCCGGCACUAGACAAGGAUGCCCUCUUUCACUACUCCUAUUCAAUAUAGUACUGGAAGUUCUAGCCAGAGCAAUCAGGCAAGAAAAAGAAAUAAAGGGUAUUCAAAUAGGAAAGGUGGAAGCCAAAUUGUCUCUAUUUGCAGACGACAUGAUAGUAUACCUAGGACACCCCAUCGCCUCAGCCCAAAAACUCCUGAAACUGAUAAGCAACUUCAGCAGUCUCAGGAUAUAAAAUCAAUGUGCAAAAAUCACAAGCCUUCCUCUACACCAAUAACAGACUUAAAGGAAGCCAAAUCAAGAACGAACUGCCAUUCACAAUUGCUACAAAAAGAAUAAAAUACCUUGGAAUACAACUCACAAGGAAUGUAAGGGACCUCUUCAAGGAAAACUACAAACCACUGCUCAACGAAAUCAGAGAGGACACAAACAGAUGGAGAAACAUUCCAUGUUCAUGGUUAGGAAGAAUUAAUAUCGUAAAAGUGGCUAUACUGCCCAAAGUAAUUUACAGAAUCAAUGCUAUGCCCAUCAAGCUACCAUUGACUUUCUUCACAGAACUGGAAAAAAACACCAUGAACUUCAUAUGGAACCAAAAGAGAGCCCGUAUAGCCAAGUGAAUUCUAAGCAAAAAGAACACAGCGUGGGGCAUCACACUACCGGAUUUCAAACCAUACUACAAGGCUACAGUAAUCAAAACAGCAUGGUACUGGUACCAAAACAGAGAUAUAGACCAAUGGAACAGAACAGAGGCAUCAGAGGCAACACAACAUAUCUACAACCAUACAAUCUUUGAUAAACCCGACAAAAACAAGCAAUGGGGAAAGGAUUCCCUGUUCAACAAAUGGUGUUGGGAAAACUGGCUAGCCAUGUGCAGAAAGCAGAAACUGGACCCCUUCCUGACACCUUACACUAAAAUUAACUCCAGAUGGAUUAAAGAUUUAAACAUAAGACCUGGCACCAUAAAAACCCUAGAGGAAAAUCUAGGCAAAACCAUUCAAGACAUAGGAGUAGGCAAGGACUUCAUGAACAAAACACCAAAAGCAUUGGCAACAAAGGCCAAAAUAGACAAAUGGGACCUAAUCAAACUCCACAGCUUCUGCACGGCAAAAGAAACAGUCACUAGAGUGAAUUGGCAACCAACAGAAUGGGAAAAAAUUUUUGCAGUUUACCCAUCUGACAAAGGGCUGAUAUCCAGAAUUUAGAAAGAACUCAAACAGAUUUACAGGAAAAAAACAAACAAGCCCAUUCAAAAUUGGGCAAAGGAGAUGAACAGACACUUUACGAAAGAAGACAUAUAUGAGGCCAACAAUCAUAUGAAAAAAUGCUCAUCAUCACUGGUCAUCAGAGAGAUGCAAAUCAAAACCACAUUGAGAUACCAUCUCACACCAGUUAGAAUAGCGAUCAUUAAAAAAUCUAGAGACAACAGAUGCUGGAGAGGAUGUGGAGAAAAAGGAACACUUUUACACUGUUGGUGGGAGUGUAAAUUAGUUCAACCAUUGUGGAAGACAGUGUGGCGAUUCCUCAAUGCCUUAGAAAUAGAAAUUCCAUUUGACCCAGCAAUCCCAUUACUGGGUAUAUAUCCAAAGGACUAUAAAUCGUUCUACUAUAAGGACACAUGUACACGAAUGUUCAUUGCAGCACUGUUUACAAUAGCAAAGACCUGGAAUCAACCAAAAUGCCCAUCAAUGGUAGACUGGAUUGGGAAAAUGUGGCACACAUACACUAUGGAAUAUUAUGCAGCAAUCAGAAAUGAUGAGUUCGUGUCGUUUGUAGGGACAUGGAUGAAUCUGGAGAACAUCAUUCUCAGCAAACUGACACAAGAACAGAAAAUGAAACACCGCAUAUUCUCACUCAUAGGCGGGUGAUGAAAAAUGAGAACACAUGGACACAGGGAGGGGAGUACUAAACACUGGGGUCUAUUGGGGGGAAAAGGGGAGGGCCAGCGAGAGGGGGAGGUGGGGAGGGAUAGCCUGGGGAGAAAUGCCAAAUGUGGGUGAAGGGGAGAAAGGAAGCAAAACACACUGCCAUGUGUGUACCUAUGCAACUGUCUUGCAUGUUCUGCACAUGUACCCCCAAACCUAAAAUGCAAUAAAAAAAAAAAAAAAAAAAGAAUCUACAGAUGGGUCGGGUGUGAUGGCUCAUGCCUGUAAGCCCAGCACUUUGGGAGGCCAAGGUGGGUGGACACGAGGUCAAGAGAUCAAGACCAUCCUGGCUAACAUGGUGAAACCCCGUCUUUACUAAAAAUACAAAAAUUAGCCGGGCGUUUGGCACGCGCCUGUAGUCCCAACUACUCCGGAGGCUGAGGCGGAAGAAUCGCUUGAACCUGGGAGGUGGAAGCUGUAGUAAGCUCAGACUGCAUCACUGCGCUCCAGCCUGUUGCCAGAGCAAGACUCCACUUCAAAUAAAAAAAAAAAGAAUCUACAGAUAUAACUAUUAGAAUUGAGAAUUUAAUCUAGCAAGAUAACAGGAUACAAAGUUAUAUAAAAAUCAAUGCUGUUUCUAUCCUAACAACUAGCAAAGAGAACAUGAAUUUUUAAAAAUGGAGAACAUUUAUAAUAGCAUCAAAAGACAUUGAGUUUUUAGGAAGAAAUAUUAACAAAAGAUGGGUGAGACCUCUACUCAGAAAAUGAUAAACAUUACUGAAAUUUAAAAAUACCUAAAUAAAGGCAGCCUAUUUAUUUAGACUGGAAAAUCCCAGUUUAUUUCCAGUCAGUUGAGUCAUUGUGCUGGCGUGUGUGUGUGUGUGUGUGUGUGUGUGCGUCUGUGUAACGUGUAUCUGAUUAAAAAUUUAUGAAGAACCAAGAAUAUUUAUUCCUGAUUCCUGCCUUCCCAGUUAACGUACAGAACCCAGUAGAAAUGAUGAUUUGCUUUCAUCUGCUCCUUUGGUGAUGGCUAGCUAUGUCUAUGGUGAUGAUGCUUGUUUAUUAAAAAAAAAAUUAAAAAUUGGAUGAUUUACUCCACCUGACAUCCAAAUGUAAAGCCUUCUAGAAGAUAAUGUAGGAGAAUAUUUUCAUGGCCUUGGGACUGGGAAAGACUUUUUAAAGGAGACAUAGAAAGCAGAACUAUAAAAUGUAAAGUCAAUACAUUGUUGAAAGGUAUGAUUAUGUGAGUGCAAAAGCAGGCAACAGAGUGCAAGUAGAUACUUGCUUAAUUUAUAACCAUUGAUAGGCUCAUACCCAUUAUAUAGAAAGAGCUCCUACGAGUAAUUAGAAAAGGAUAGUUCAGUCUUGUCAAUGGAGAAGAAACAAACUAUUUCACAUAAGAGGAUAUUCAAAUGGUCAAAAACCAUGAAAAGAUACUUAACCUCAUCAGUUAUUAGGGAAGUAGAAAUUAAAACCAGUAUGAGAUGUCACUAUUUACUUGCCAAGAAUAGCUAAGAUGAAAAAGUAUUAGUGAAGAUAGUGGAACAGGUGAAACUGUCAUAUACCACUGAUGGGAGUAUAGCUGACACAACCAGUUUUGAGGACCAGUUGAUAGUAUCUCCUAAAACUGAUAUAUGUGAUAUAUAUGUUGCAUGAAAGAAGCCAGAGACACAAAGGAAAAUAAGUGGUAUGAGUUCAUUUGUAUAAAAUUCAAGGACAGGACCAGGCAUGGUGGCUCAUGCCUGUAAUCCCAGCACUUUGGAAGGCUGAGGCGGGUGGAUCACUUGAGGCUAGGAGUUUGAGACCAGCUUGGCCAACAUGGUAAACCCUGUCUCUACUAAAAAUACAGAAAUUAGGCUGGGUGCGGUGGCUCACGCCUGUAAUCCCAGCACUUUGGAAGGCUGAGGCCGGUAGAUCAUGAGGUCAAGAGAUCAAGACCAUCCUGACCAACAUGAUGAAACUCCGUCUCUACUAAAACUACAAAAAUUAGCUUCGUAUGGUGGUAUGUACCUGUAGUCCCAGCUACUUAGGAGGCUGAGGCAGGAGAAUCAUUUGAACCCGAGAGGUGGAGGUUUGCAGUGAGCCAGAUCGCACACUGCACUCCUGCCUGGCGACAGAGUGAGACUCUGUCUCAAAAAAAAUUAGCCAGAUGUGUGGUGGUACAUGCCUAUAAUCCUAGUUACUGAGGAGGCUGAGGUAUGAGUAUCACUUGAGCCUGGGAGGCAGAGGUUGCAAUGAGCUGAGAUCACGCCACUGCAGCCCAACCUUAGCAACAGAGUGAGACUGUCUCAAAAAUAAAUAAGUUCAAAGACAGACUAAUUUGUUAUAUUAGAACUAAGAUAGUAUUUACUUUUGGAAUAGAGGGUAGGGUUAGUGGUUAAGAAGUGUUACAAGGGGAGCUUUUCUGUACAUUGAGCUUGUACACUUAUGAUUUGUAUAUAUGUUAUAUUUCAGUGUAACGUUACUUUCAAAUGAGAUAGUAUGUGUAAGCUGCUUAGCAUAAUGCCUCACUCGUGAAAAUGAAUUCAGUUCAAUAGUUGGCAGCAUUAACCAUUUACUGUGAUUUAGUGCUCUGUGAUGAUAAGAUUCAUGGCUGUGUUAUCCAGCAGAACUUUCUGCAGUAAUUAAAAUGUUCUGUAUUUGUGCUGUUCAGUUUCACAGUCAUUAGCCACAAGUAGCUGUUGAACAUUUGAAAUAUGACCAGUGUGAUAUUUUAAGCAAAAUUUUAAAAUUUUGCUUAACUUUAAUUAGAACUUAAAUACCCGACAUGUGGCUAUUAUAUUGGACAGUGCAGGUCUAGGGUUUUUGUCAUAAGAAAUGAAUGACUAAAGGAGAAUACCAACGAAGUUCACUUGCAUCAUUGAACAAAUCAGGAAACUGAGAGCCCAGAGUGUCAGAUCAAUUGUGCAUAUAUAUACAUUCAAGAAUGCUCAGGAUCAUGGCAAGAUCUGAUUGGAGUAGGAGACUAUUAGCUAGGUUCCAAAGUCUUCGAAGAAGCCUCAGUUAGAGUAAUGUUUUCUCCCAUAUAGACUAUCUAAAGUACACAGAGAGAAAUGUUUCUGCAGCAGCAACAGAUGCUCCAGAGAAGUUUUUUUUGUUUUUAUUUUUUAUUUUAUGUAUUUAUUUAUUUUUUUUGAGACAGAGUUUCGCUCUUGUUACCCAGACUGGAGUGCAAUGGUGCGAUCUCAGCUCACCGCAGCCUCCGCCUCCCGAGUAGCUGGGAUUACAGGCACGCGCCACCAUGCCCAGCUAAUUUUUUGUAUUUUUAGUAGAGACGGGGUUUCACCAUGUUGACCAGGAUGGUCUCGAUCUCUUGACCUCAUGAUCCACCCGCCUCGGCCUCCCAAAGUGCUGGGAUUAUAGGCUUGAGCCACCGCGCCCGGCCCUAUUUUUGUUUUUUAAGACAGAGUCCCACUCUGUCAUCCAGGCUGGAAUGCAGUGGUGUGAUCUCAACUCAUUGCAAUCUCUGCCUCGAAGUAAUUCUCCUGCCUUGGCCUCCCAAGUAGCUGGGAUUACAGGCAUGUGACACCAUGUCCAGCUAAUUUUUAUAUUUUUAGUAGAGAUGGGGUUUCACUAUGUUGGCUAGGCUGGUCUUGAACUCCUGACCUCAGGUGAUCCGCCCACCUUGGCCUCCCAAAGUGCUAGGAUUACAGAUGUGAGCCACUGUGCCUGGCUUCCAGAGAAGUUCUGUGCAACCAAACUAGAGCAGUAAUGUGGUCAUUGAAGAUCUGUGAGGCAGAAGUUUGAUGCAGUGAGAGGAAGGAAGCCAGCGUGUAGGAGUGGAUGAAAGGUUAAGGUAUGGCCAAUUUUCAAAAAGCUCCUCUCUGAAGGCAAUGUGAGGGGAGGUGGUAGCUAGAGGGAGAUGUGGAAUUUUGCUUUUGUUUAACAAAUGCUGAGAAAUAGAGCUUGAGAAAUGACCCUAAAAAGUGAAAUUUCUUCGUAUUUUUAAACAUUUAAAAGUUUAAAACAUUAAAAUAAUUAUAAUUAUAAUUAUUUUUUUGAGACGGAGUUUUGCUCUUAUUACCCAGGCUGGAGUGCAAUGGCAUGAUCUCGGCUCACCGCAACCUCUGCCUCCUGGGUUCAGGCCGUUCUCCUGCCUCAGCCUCCCAAGUAGCUGGGACUACAGGCAUUUGCCACCAUGUCCAGCUAAUUUUUGUAUUUUUAGUAGAGAUGGUGUUUCACCAUGUUGACCAGGAUGGUCUCGAUCUCUUGAUCUUGUGAUUCACCUGCCUCGGCCUCCCAUAGGGCUGGGAUUUUAGGCAUUAGCCACCACGCCUGGCCUUAUUAUUUUAAAAUUUAAAAUUUUUCUAUAAGUUCCUCAGUCACACUAGUCACAUUUAAAAUGUUCAACAGCCAUUUUGUGGCUAGUGACUAUGAAACUGAACAGCACAAAUACAGAACAUUUUACUCACCGCAGAAAGUUCUGUUGGAUAACAGUGCCAUGGAUCUUGUCAUCACAGAGCACUAAAUCACAAUGAAUAGUUAAUGUUGCCAGCUGUUGAAGAGAACUCAUUUUCAUGAGUGAGGCAUGUGGGAGAAAUGUUGAGGCUGAGUUCAUACAGGGUCUCCUCUGUGAGAUGGGGUGGAAGGAAGCUGGGUGACGAUAGUGGAAAUAUUGGUUGGGCCAGAUUUUAAAUAGCCUUGAAUGACAUUAUGAAGUAAUGCUGACUUUAUCUGUUAGUUCAUAGAGAGCCAAGGAAGAUUUUAAACAUGCGAGUCUCCUGUGAGAGUCUGUGCUUCAGAAAUAUUACUCUGGCAAUAUCAAGGACUGAGAGCUAACUGUAAAGUGUCCAGACUAAAGGUAGACAGAUUGUUAUCAAACAAGAAACAAUGAAAGCCUGAAUUAUAGCAGUAGCAGAGAGGAUGGAGACAAGUUGGUGAACUUAAUAGUUUAGAGAUGGAAUGAGCACAACCUGUGGUGAUGGAACAAGGGGAAGUUGUACAGACCUGUUUUUACUGGAGUUGACUAGGUGACUGGUGAGCUUACAUUUGAGUUCUUUCUCAAAAGAAAGAACAGGCAUUUGAGAGUAGAGUGAGUUGCAACAGCUUUGUUAAGAUACAAUAUAUAGACUAAGCAAUUUAUCCACUUGGAGUAUACAAUUUAUGUUUUUAGUGUACUCACAGAGUUGUUCAACCAUCAUCAUAGUCCAUUUUAGAAUGUAAAAGAAAUCUAGUAUGGAAACCUAGUAUACCCAUUAGCAGCCGUUUCCCGUUUCAUCCCAGCCCUCCCAGCACUAGACAACUACUAAUCUACUUUCAGUCUGUGAAUUUGCCUAUUCUGGACAUUUCUUAAGCAGCCUGAUGAAGAGCACCUGCCUUCUUUCAGCCUUACAACAACCUGGGAGCUGUGAUUGGUAUAGACGAUGAGGACGACAGCACCUUCACAAUAACUGUUGAUCAGAAAACCUUCCAUUUCCAGGCUCGUGAUGCUGAUGAGCGAGAGAAGUGGAUCCAUGCCUUAGAAGAAACAAUUCUUCG
This is a non-coding RNA of Callithrix jacchus (white-tufted-ear marmoset), 22664 nucleotides long. The record is from RefSeq and is a predicted model, not a curated record. NCBI's taxonomy places the organism in Eukaryota, Metazoa, Chordata, Mammalia, Primates, Cebidae.